UGACCGCUGGCGGCGUGCCUACUACAUGCAAGUCGAGCGAACGGACGAGAAGCUUGCUUCUCUGAUGUUAGCGGCGGACGGGUAAGUAACACGUGGAUAACCUACCUAUAAGACUGGGAUAACUUCGGGAAACCGGAGCUAAUACCGGAUAAUAUUUUGAACCGCAUGGUUCAAAAGUGAAAGACGGUCUUGCUGUCACUUAUAGAUGGAUCCGCGCUGCAUUAGCUAGUUGGUAAGGUAACGGCUUACCAAGGCAACGAUGCAUAGCCGACCUGAGAGGGUGAUCGGCCACACUGGAACUGAGACACGGUCCAGACUCCUACGGGAGGCAGCAGUAGGGAAUCUUCCGCAAUGGGCGAAAGCCUGACGGAGCAACGCCGCGUGAGUGAUGAAGGUCUUCGGAUCGUAAAACUCUGUUAUUAGGGAAGAACAUAUGUGUAAGUAACUGUGCACAUCUUGACGGUACCUAAUCAGAAAGCCACGGCUAACUACGUG
This 495-nucleotide ribosomal RNA is filed under the name uncultured bacterium. RNAcentral's name for it is "partial 16S ribosomal RNA". It matches the Rfam family "Bacterial small subunit ribosomal RNA", at positions 30 to 507 of the family's 1533-position model. The record is from RNAcentral.